CUAAAUAAGACUAACACAAUGUCAGUCGAGCGGAGACGGGAGCUUGCUCCUUGAUUCAGCGGCGGACGGGUGAGUAAUGCCUAGGAAUCUGCCUGGUAGUGGGGGACAACGUUUCGAAAGGAACGCUAAUACCGCAUACGUCCUACGGGAGAAAGCAGGGGACCUUCGGGCCUUGCGCUAUCAGAUGAGCCUAGGUCGGAUUAGCUAGUUGGUGAGGUAAUGGCUCACCAAGGCGACGAUCCGUAACUGGUCUGAGAGGAUGAUCAGUCACACUGGAACUGAGACACGGUCCAGACUCCUACGGGAGGCAGCAGUGGGGAAUAUUGGACAAUGGGCGAAAGCCUGAUCCAGCCAUGCCGCGUGUGUGAAGAAGGUCUUCGGAUUGUAAAGCACUUUAAGUUGGGAGGAAGGGCAGUAAGCUAAUACCUUGCUGUUUUGACGUUACCGACAGAAUAAGCACCGGCUAACUCUGUGCCAGCAGCCGCGGUAAUACAGAGGGUGCAAGCGUUAAUCGGAAUUACUGGGCGUAAAGCGCGCGUAGGUGGUUCGUUAAGUUGGAUGUGAAAGCCCCGGGCUCAACCUGGGAACUGCAUCCAAAACUGGCGAGCUAGAGUACGGUAGAGGGUGGUGGAAUUUCCUGUGUAGCGGUGAAAUGCGUAGAUAUAGGAAGGAACACCAGUGGCGAAGGCGACCACCUGGACUGAUACUGACACUGAGGUGCGAAAGCGUGGGGGAGCAAACAGGAUUAGAUACCCUGGUAGUCCACGCCGUAAACGAUGUCAACUAGCCGUUGGAAAUCCUUGAGAUUUUUAGUGGCGCAGCUCAUCGCAUUUAAUGUUUGACCGCCCUGGGGGAGUACGGCCCGCCUAUGGAUUAAAUACUCACAUUGAAUUUGGAACC
Molecule: ribosomal RNA, 900 nt
Filed under: Pseudomonas putida
Lineage: Bacteria; Pseudomonadati; Pseudomonadota; Gammaproteobacteria; Pseudomonadales; Pseudomonadaceae
Description: bacterial SSU rRNA
Rfam family: Bacterial small subunit ribosomal RNA
Source: RNAcentral